This 363-nucleotide unclassified non-coding RNA is filed under the name uncultured bacterium. Its description in RNAcentral is "contains 16S-23S intergenic spacer region". The record is from RNAcentral.
UCCCCGUUGCCGGGGCAGUCUAGCUAGAGAAAUUCAACUAACUAUAAGGGUUGCGCUCGUUACUGGACUUAACCAUACAUCUCACGACACGAGCUGACGACGGCCAUGCAUCACCUGUCAUCGGGUUCCAAAAGGCACAGUCUCCUUUCGGAGACCUUCCCGAGAUGUCAAACCUUGGUAAGGUUCUACGCUUAUCAUCGAAUUAAACAACACGCUCCACCGCUUGUGCGGGUCCCCGUCAAUUCCUUUAUGUUUUAGUCUUGCGACCGUACUCCACAGGCGGGAUGCUUAACGCGUUAGCUUCGCUACUACCAGGAUUGAUACUGAUAACAGCUAGCAUCCAUCGUUUACGGCGUGGACUAC